GACGAACGCUGGCGGCGUGCUUAACACAUGCAAGUCGAACGGAAAGGCCCUGCUUUUGUGGGGUGCUCGAGUGGCGAACGGGUGAGUAACACGUGAGUAACCUGCCCUUGACUUUGGGAUAACUUCAGGAAACUGGGGCUAAUACCGGAUAGGAGCUCCUGCUGCAUGGUGGGGGUUGGAAAGUUUCGGCGGUCGGGGAUGGACUCGCGGCUUAUCAGCUUGUUGGUGGGGUAGUGGCUUACCAAGGCUUUGACGGGUAGCCGGCCUGAGAGGGUGACCGGCCACAUUGGGACUGAGGUACGGCCCAGACUCCUACGGGAGGCAGCAGUGGGGAAUAUUGCACAAUGGGCGGAAGCCUGAUGCAGCAACGCCGCGUGCGGGAUGACGGCCUUCGGGUUGUAAACCGCUUUCGCCUGUGACGAAGCGUGAGUGACGGUAAUGGGUAAAGAAGCACCGGCUAACUACGUG
RNAcentral lists this ribosomal RNA (468 nucleotides) under uncultured bacterium. RNAcentral describes it as "partial 16S ribosomal RNA". It matches the Rfam family "Bacterial small subunit ribosomal RNA", at positions 28 to 507 of the family's 1533-position model. The record is from RNAcentral.